AGUUUGCUGAUAAUCAUCCACUUUUCUGAUGUUGCAGAAGAAGAAGCCUCUGUGUUCCGGAUCUUCAUAGAUGAACCUGGAUAUGGAGAUCUCCACUGGGGUUUCACAAGUCACAAGGGAAGGGAAGUAUGUGCAAUCUGAUGUCCCAAGGUAGCUUUUAUAUGGGACAAUGGUUUAUGUUCGUCAAACAAUUGUCUCUGAUGCUUCUAAGGCUUUAUCUCGAGCUGUGUGCAUUGCUGUAAGAUAUAGUUGUGUUUGUAGGCAAUUUGGAUCACAAGAUGGUUCUUCUGAGACUCAAGUACAAUAUCAGUACUCUGUGCUACAUUGAAAAAUAUUCUGACAUACAUAUAUUAAUUUACCACAAUAUCAUCCUCUCGUUUAUCCACCUAAAGUCAUUGAUUACAAAACUCAGCAAAGCAGACUCUUUCCACUGCUGGCUUCAGCAUAUGCUUUUAGGUUUGUUGGUCAAUGGUUGAAGUGGCUAUAUAAUGAUGUAACAGAGAGACUACGAGCCAAUGAUUUUUCAACAUUGCCUGAGGCUCAUGCAUGCACUGCUGGUUUGAAAUCUUUGACAACCUCUGUGA
Molecule: long non-coding RNA, 584 nt
Organism: Zingiber officinale
Lineage: Eukaryota; Viridiplantae; Streptophyta; Magnoliopsida; Zingiberales; Zingiberaceae
Exons: 3
Source: RefSeq, a predicted model, not a curated record